Molecule: ribosomal RNA, 261 nt
Filed under: uncultured bacterium
Lineage: Bacteria
Description: partial 16S ribosomal RNA
Rfam family: Bacterial small subunit ribosomal RNA
Source: RNAcentral
CCGGCGCACGGGUGAGUAACACGUAUCCAACCUGCCGUCUACUCUUGGACAGCCUUCUGAAAGGAAGAUUAAUACAAGAUGGCAUCAUGAGUCCGCAUGUUCACAUGAUUAAAGGUAUUCCGGUAGACGAUGGGGAUGCGUUCCAUUAGAUAGUAGGCGGGGUAACGGCCCACCUAGUCUUCGAUGGAUAGGGGUUCUGAGAGGAAGGUCCCCCACCAUUGGAACUGAGACACGGUCCAAACUCCUACGGGAGGCAGCAUG